This 1373-nucleotide ribosomal RNA is filed under the name Salmonella enterica subsp. enterica serovar Enteritidis. RNAcentral's name for it is "partial 23S ribosomal RNA". It matches the Rfam family "Bacterial large subunit ribosomal RNA", at positions 1292 to 2650 of the family's 2925-position model. The record is from RNAcentral. Lineage: Bacteria; Pseudomonadati; Pseudomonadota; Gammaproteobacteria; Enterobacterales; Enterobacteriaceae.
GAAUGCUGACAUAAGUAACGAUAAAGCGGGUGAAAAGCCCGCUCGCCGGAAGACCAAGGGUUCCUGUCCAACGUUAAUCGGGGCAGGGUGAGUCGACCCCUAAGGCGAGGCCGAAAGGCGUAGUCGAUGGGAAACGGGUUAAUAUUCCCGUACUUGGUGUUACUGCGAAGGGGGGACGGAGAAGGCUAUGUUGGCCGGGCGACGGUUGUCCCGGUUUAAGCGUGUAGGCUGGUUUUCCAGGCAAAUCCGGAAAAUCAAGGCUGAGGCGUGAUGACGAGGCACUACGGUGCUGAAGCAACAAAUGCCCUGCUUCCAGGAAAAGCCUCUAAGCAUCAGGUAACAUCAAAUCGUACCCCAAACCGACACAGGUGGUCAGGUAGAGAAUACCAAGGCGCUUGAGAGAACUCGGGUGAAGGAACUAGGCAAAAUGGUGCCGUAACUUCGGGAGAAGGCACGCUGACACGUAGGUGAAGUGAUUUACUCAUGGAGCUGAAGUCAGUCGAAGAUACCAGCUGGCUGCAACUGUUUAUUAAAAACACAGCACUGUGCAAACACGAAAGUGGACGUAUACGGUGUGACGCCUGCCCGGUGCCGGAAGGUUAAUUGAUGGGGUCAGCGCAAGCGAAGCUCCUGAUCGAAGCCCCGGUAAACGGCGGCCGUAACUAUAACGGUCCUAAGGUAGCGAAAUUCCUUGUCGGGUAAGUUCCGACCUGCACGAAUGGCGUAAUGAUGGCCAGGCUGUCUCCACCCGAGACUCAGUGAAAUUGAACUCGCUGUGAAGAUGCAGUGUACCCGCGGCAAGACGGAAAGACCCCGUGAACCUUUACUAUAGCUUGACACUGAACAUUGAGCCUUGAUGUGUAGGAUAGGUGGGAGGCUUUGAAGUGUGGACGCCAGUCUGCAUGGAGCCGACCUUGAAAUACCACCCUUUAAUGUUUGAUGUUCUAACGUGGACCCGUUACCCGGGUUGCGGACAGUGUCUGGUGGGUAGUUUGACUGGGGCGGUCUCCUCCUAAAGAGUAACGGAGGAGCACGAAGGUUGGCUAAUCCUGGUCGGACAUCAGGAGGUUAGUGCAAUGGCAUAAGCCAGCUUGACUGCGAGCGUGACGGCGCGAGCAGGUGCGAAAGCAGGUCAUAGUGAUCCGGUGGUUCUGAAUGGAAGGGCCAUCGCUCAACGGAUAAAAGGUACUCCGGGGAUAACAGGCUGAUACCGCCCAAGAGUUCAUAUCGACGGCGGUGUUUGGCACCUCGAUGUCGGCUCAUCACAUCCUGGGGCUGAAGUAGGUCCCAAGGGUAUGGCUGUUCGCCAUUUAAAGUGGUACGCGAGCUGGGUUUAGAACGUCGUGAGACAGUUCGGUCCCUAUCUGCCGUGG